RNAcentral lists this ribosomal RNA (253 nucleotides) under uncultured bacterium. Its description in RNAcentral is "partial 16S ribosomal RNA". It matches the Rfam family "Bacterial small subunit ribosomal RNA", at positions 524 to 776 of the family's 1533-position model. The record is from RNAcentral.
UACGAAGGGGGCUAGCGUUGCUCGGAAUUACUGGGUGUAAAGGGUUCGUAGGCGGUGUGGCAAGUCGGGAGUGAAAUCUCUGGGCUCAACCCAGAGUCUGCUUCCGAAACUGCUGUGCUUGAGUGUGGGAGAGGCGCGUGGAAUUGCAGGUGUAGCGGUGAAAUGCGUAGAUAUCUGCAGGAACACCCGUGGCGAAAGCGGCGCGCUGGACCACUACUGACGCUGAGGAACGAAAGCUAGGGGAGCAAACAGG